Molecule: non-coding RNA, 462 nt
Organism: Paramuricea clavata
Lineage: Eukaryota; Metazoa; Cnidaria; Anthozoa; Malacalcyonacea; Plexauridae
Source: the annotation of a GenBank genome assembly
UAAAUAUCUAUAUAAAGGUGACGAAGUUAGUAAAGGAAUUAAAUAAAAGAUUAAUACAGCCCUAAAAUGUAAUACUUUAUAAAUGAGUAAAACAAUUGAGGAACACAGUUGAUCCACUAUAAUUAAUAACAAUUUCAAUAUUAGCUUUUGGGCAAUAGCCUAGUAAGUUACAUACAUACAUACAUACAUACAUACAUAAACUUUAUUUCAGUGCCAACUGCCAAGAAUACAUAGCCGACAUUUAAAAAUGUUUGAAAGCUUAUUUGAUGUCCUUUGAGAGUUCGUAUUGUAAAGUUGGUCUUCAGAUAUGCCUCGAUAAUCAACAAAAGAUCAAACAGUUUGGGUUUUAAUGGUUUCCCAUGCAAAGGAUUAUAUACGUGAAGGAAAGGAAAUACUUUCUCUGAUGAAUGAAUAAAUGUUUAUCAAACAAUUAUGUUUUUCAUUCACUCACUCUUUUGGCCA